Molecule: ribosomal RNA, 465 nt
Filed under: uncultured bacterium
Lineage: Bacteria
Description: partial 16S ribosomal RNA
Rfam family: Bacterial small subunit ribosomal RNA
Source: RNAcentral
CCUACGUGAGGCAGCAGUGGGGAAUAUUGCGCAAUGGGCGAAAGCCUGACGCAGCGACGCCGCGUGAGGGAUGAAGGUCUUCGGAUCGUAAACCUCUGUCAGCAGGGAAGAACGGUCACUGUGCUAAUCAGCAGUGAAUUGAUGGUACCUGCAAAGGAAGCACCGGCUAACUCCGUGCCAGCAGCCGCGGUAAUACGGAGGGUGCGAGCGUUAAUCGGAAUUACUGGGCGUAAAGCGCUCGUAGGCGGUAUGUCAAGUCAAGGGUGAAAUCCCCGCGCUCAACGUGGGAACUGACUUUGAAACUGGCAAACUGGAGUGUGUGAGAGGAUAGUGGAAUUCCAGGUGUAGGAGUGAAAUCCGUAGAUAUCUGGAGGAACAUCAGUGGCGAAGGCGACUAUCUGGCACAUAACUGACGCUGAGGAGCGAAAGCGUGGGUAGCAAACAGGAUUAGAUACCCGGGUAGUC